GCAGAUUUUUUUUUCGUCGUUAAAAUGGGCCGAACGAAGAAAGGUAACUUAGCAAAUUAGUUUUAGAUUCAAUGUUACACAUCUAAUAAACAAUAUUUAUUAUUUAUCUUUCCAGAAAACCCAAAAAAAAGUGAAGACUACGGCCAAAAGUGCUCAACAAAAGCGUUUCCGGAAGGCGGGGGCGGAGCCCCAAGAACGUCAGAAAAAAACAGCAAAGUGCGGCCAAAACGGUGAACGAUUCUGCGCUUAAACUGAAGCUGGACGAAAAGCUACAGAAAUCCGGAAUAAGCCUGAGCCAGAA
Long non-coding RNA from Culex quinquefasciatus (southern house mosquito), 301 nucleotides. RefSeq lists it as uncharacterized. Lineage: Eukaryota; Metazoa; Arthropoda; Insecta; Diptera; Culicidae. The transcript is spliced from 3 exons. The record is from RefSeq and is a predicted model, not a curated record.